Molecule: ribosomal RNA, 205 nt
Filed under: uncultured bacterium
Lineage: Bacteria
Description: partial 16S ribosomal RNA
Rfam family: Bacterial small subunit ribosomal RNA
Source: RNAcentral
GAUGAACGCUAGCGGCAGGCUUAAUACAUGCAAGUCGAGGGGCAGCACGGGUAGCAAUACCUGGUGGCGACCGGCAAACGGGUGCGGAACACGUACGCAACCUUCCCAUAACUGGUGAAUAGCCCUCCGAAAGGAGGAUUAAUACACCGUAACAUAAUGAAGAGGCAUCUCUUUAUUAUUAUAGGCAGCAAUGUCGGUUUUGGUA